CAUGGAAGUCUCCAAGCCUGUGCCAUCCACCUGCCAAGGAAAAGCACAAGCAUACAGUUUGAACAUUUAUUCGCCUCCUGAGCUUGUACAACAGUCGUGGGAGUUGCUGCAGAAGCAAGCGAAAAGCCAGAUGAGCGCUUCUAAACUUAGAGAGAGGAGAGUUGGGGCCUUCCAUUCCCUCCAGUAAAUACUUGUUUUUCUUCCACCGCUGAGGCAAAUGCGGGGUGGCUGAUCACCUGGCAGACAUCUUAGGAAACAGGAGCACCGGUCUGGGAAACUGCUGGCCUGGCCUAACACCUGGCGCUGUGGUGCAGGAGGGCAGCCACUGAGGAUUCUUGAGGAGAGAGAGACCAUAGAAUGAAUGAAAGAGUUGGAAAGACUUUAAAGCUCUGGGAGGCUGAAUCCUUUAUUUCGCUGGAAGAAAAACUGAAUGCCAAGAGGGCCUCACUUUCCCCAAAGCUAUACAGCCAUCAGGGGCAAUGCUGGGAUUCCCCCAUGGAUCUCUUGACUCCUAAUACAGUGCUCUUUCUGAUAUGCCAUCUGGCUCCAUAAUGAACAUUGUGUUCCAGGAAAAUCAGUCUGCGCUGAACAGGAUGGAAUUGGGGCAGGACGUCCAGUGAGGAGGACAUUGAGGCAGUAGAGCAG
This 645-nucleotide non-coding RNA is filed under the name Homo sapiens (human). Lineage: Eukaryota; Metazoa; Chordata; Mammalia; Primates; Hominidae. The record is from RNAcentral.